CGCUGGCGGCGUGCUUAACACAUGCAAGUCGGACGAUGAAACAGGAGCUUGCUCUUGGGGAUUAGUGGCGAACGGGUGAGUAACACGUGAGUAACCUGCCCUUGACUCUGGGAUAACCUCCGGAAACGGAAGCUAAUACCCGGAUACGAACUGCGAAGGCAUCUUCAGCAGUUGGAAAGAACUUCGGUCAAGGAUGGACUCGCGGCCUAUCAGGUAGUUGGUGAGGUAACGGCCCACCAAGCCUACGACGGGUAGCCGGCCUGAGAGGGUGACCGGCCACACUGGGACUGAGACACGGUCCAGACUCCUACGGGAGGCAGCAGUGGGAAUAUUGCACAAUGGGCGCAAGCCUGAUGCAGCAACGCCGCGUGAGGGAUGACGGCCUUCGGGUUGUAAACCUCUUUUUAGUAGGGAAGAAGCGAAAGUGACGGUACCUGCAGAAAAAGCACCGGCUAACUACGUGCCAGCAGCCGCGGUAAUACGUAGGGUGCGAGCGUUGUCCGGAAUUAUUGGGCGUAAAGAGCUCGUAGGCGGUCUGUCGCGUCUGCUGUGAAAACCGAGCUCAACC
Molecule: ribosomal RNA, 568 nt
Filed under: Leifsonia aquatica
Lineage: Bacteria; Bacillati; Actinomycetota; Actinomycetes; Micrococcales; Microbacteriaceae
Description: bacterial SSU rRNA
Rfam family: Bacterial small subunit ribosomal RNA
Source: RNAcentral